UACAACUGCCAGACUCCUUUGCUUGCUACAUAAAGCCAUCUAUAAUAGUUCCAGAUUUUUCCACAGAUGGCCAUAAAACUGUACAGACCAUGGUUAUUUCUGCACAUGAUGAAUUGAGAAUCUCCACAGAGCACUUUGGAUAGAGAGAGUAAUUUGUAUGCCUCGGUGAAACCAGCACACACA
RNAcentral lists this long non-coding RNA (183 nucleotides) under Fukomys damarensis (Damara mole-rat). Its description in RNAcentral is "lncRNA (ENSFDAG00000027828.1)". Lineage: Eukaryota; Metazoa; Chordata; Mammalia; Rodentia; Bathyergidae. The record is from RNAcentral.